Molecule: transfer RNA, 74 nt
Filed under: Solirubrobacterales bacterium
Lineage: Bacteria; Bacillati; Actinomycetota; Thermoleophilia; Solirubrobacterales
Also listed under: 1 other name
Description: tRNA-Arg
Rfam family: tRNA
About the family: Transfer RNA (tRNA) molecules are approximately 80 nucleotides in length.
Source: RNAcentral
GCCCCCGUAGCUCAGCUGGAUAGAGCAGCGGCCUUCUAAUCCGCAGGUCCCCCGUUCGAAUCGGGGCGGGGGUG